Molecule: ribosomal RNA, 468 nt
Filed under: uncultured bacterium
Lineage: Bacteria
Description: partial 16S ribosomal RNA
Rfam family: Bacterial small subunit ribosomal RNA
Source: RNAcentral
GACGAACGCUGGCGGCGUGCUUAACACAUGCGAGUCGAACGGAAAGGCCCUGCUUUUGUGGGGUGCUCGAGUGGCGAACGGGUGAGUAACACGUGAGUAACCUGCCCUUGACUUUGGGAUAACUUCAGGAAACUGGGGCUAAUACCGGAUAGGAGCUCCUGCUGCAUGGUGGGGGUUGGAAAGUUUCGGCGGUUGGGGAUGGACUCGCGGCUUAUCAGCUUGUUGGUGGGGUAGUGGCUUACCAAGGCUUUGACGGGUAGCCGGCCUGAGAGGGUGACCGGCCACAUUGGGACGGAGAUACGGCCCAGACCCCUACGGGAGGCAGCAGUGGGGAAUAGUGCACUAUGGGCGGAAGCCUGAUGCAGCAACGCCGCGUGCGGGAUGACGGCCUUCGGGUUGUAAACCGCUUUCGCCUGUGACGAAGCGUGAGUGACGGUAAUGGGUAAAGAAGCACCGGCUAACUACGUG